RNAcentral lists this ribosomal RNA (253 nucleotides) under uncultured bacterium. RNAcentral's name for it is "partial 16S ribosomal RNA". It matches the Rfam family "Bacterial small subunit ribosomal RNA", at positions 524 to 776 of the family's 1533-position model. The record is from RNAcentral.
GACGAACCGUCCUAACGUUGUUCGGAAUCACUGGGCUUAAAGGGCGCGUAGGCGGCCCUGUAAGUCGGGGGUGAAAGCCCACGGCCCAACCGUGGAAGUGCCUCCGAUACUGCGGGGCUCGAGGGAGGUAGGGGCAGCGGGAACUUCCGGUGGAGCGGUGAAAUGCGUUGAUAUCGGAAGGAACGCCGGUGGCGAAAGCGCGCUGCUGGACCUCUGCUGACGCUGAGGCGCGAAAGCCAGGGGAGCAAACGGG